GCUUAACACAUGCAAGUCGAGCGGUAAGGCCCCUUCGGGGGUACACGAGCGGCGAACGGGUGAGUAACACGUGAGCAAUCUGCCCUUCACACGGGGAUAACCACCGGAAACGGUGGCUAAUACCCGAUACGACCACUUCAGGCAUCUGAUGGUGGUGGAAAGUUCCGGCGGUGGAGGAUGAGCUCGCGGCCUAUCAGCUUGUUGGUGGGGUAAUGGCCUACCAAGGCAACGACGGGUAGCCGGCCUGAGAGGGUGACCGGCCACACUGGGACUGAGACACGGCCCAGACUCCUACGGGAGGCAGCAGUGGGGAAUAUUGGACAAUGGGCGAAAGCCUGAUCCAGCAACGCCGCGUGAGGGAUGACGGCCUUCGGGUUGUAAACCUCUUUCAGCAGGGACGAAGCGCAAGUGACGGUACCUGCAGAAGAAGCACCGGCCAACUACGUGCCAGCAGCCGCGGUAAUACGUAGGGUGCGAGCGUUGUCCGGAAUUAUUGGGCGUAAAGGGCUCGUAGGCGGUUUGUCGCGUCGGGAGUGAAAACUCAGGGCUUAACCCUGAGCCUGCUUCCGAUACGGGCAGACUAGAGGUAUGCAGGGGAGAACGGAAUUCCUGGUGUAGCGGUGAAAUGCGCAGAUAUCAGGAGGAACACCGGUGGCGAAGGCGGUUCUCUGGGCAUUACCUGACGCUGAGGAGCGAAAGUGUGGGGAGCGAACAGG
This 716-nucleotide ribosomal RNA is filed under the name uncultured Actinomycetes bacterium. RNAcentral describes it as "bacterial SSU rRNA". It matches the Rfam family "Bacterial small subunit ribosomal RNA", at positions 46 to 776 of the family's 1533-position model. Lineage: Bacteria; Bacillati; Actinomycetota; Actinomycetes. The record is from RNAcentral.